UUUAUUUAAUAUGUCAAAGUUGGAUGCGUCGUUCUUUAACGUCGUCAUCCGAUGCUCGACUGCUGAGACUGCCACCGGAGCGAACACCAGUCUUCACUCCCGCAAAGUUCCUCGGAGCGAGGAAGGGAGGAGUUCGCCGGCGAUGGAGAAGAAUGUGGUGAUGAUUUGUGCAGCCGUGAGCUUCCUUGGCCUUCUCUCUGCUACGCUCGGCUUCGCUGCUGAGGCGACAAGGAUCAGGACCGAUGAAGGUUUUGGGUUUUCUUCACCUGACCUACCAUGUGGAAUCGGUUGCUCUGCCGCUCCACUGGAAAGCCAUCAUCUAUCGCGUUAGGGUUUUAUAGGGUUUUAAAGACGGGAUCUCGUUGAUUACGAGGCAUCUUUACUGUUUUCCGUGGUUUCUGAUGUACAAACAUCAACACUAGGUCAAUGCACAUAUCCAAGGAGCCCAUCAGUAGCUCUGGGUCUUAUAGCUGCAGUGGCUCUUAUGAUAGCUCAGGCCAUCAUAAGCACCCUAGCUGGGUGUAUAUGUUGCAAGAAAUAUCCAAAUCCAUCCGACACCAACUGGACAAUUGGGAUGAUCGCCUUUGUUGCUUCUUGGUAACUCACGUACUUUAUGUUACAUGGGUGUAUUUACCUAUAUGACAAUCUUAUUGAGCCACCCUUUAUUAUUGGCAAUAGAAUUUGGACAUGGAACUAUAAGCAAGCUACUUGUUUCUGUCAAUUGAUAAUCCAGUAUUGAUUCUUUCUAAUGGUUGUAUUUGUUAUGCACUUUUUGUUUUGGUCCAUCUUUUGCCGUUUUACAAGAUGAAACAUUGUCGUGCUUUUGGAGAAACUUGGGGCCUGAUGAGAUAUUAAGGAUCCCUGCUUCAAGUUCUACAUGUGUACGAGAAAAUAUACUAACACCCAUAUUUCUGAAGGGCACAUGAAAUAUCUCUAUUGUGAACCAUAAUUGUGCCCCGUGAUAAACUUUGGUGAGGAAACAUGAAGGCAGGUCAUAGUUCAUCAAUUCACAUGGUGAGGAAACAUUGGCUUAUGGUGAUCAGAUGUGAUGCCAACAACUAAGAUUAGACGUUCAAGAGGUUGUGGGAGAUGAUUAUCAAGCAUUGGAAGUUGGAACAAGACUGAUUGUUUGUUCGUGAAAGGAAGAUGCAGAAAAAAAGAGCUAUGGUUGGCAGCAAUGUUGUAAAGAUUAUAUUGGUAUCCCUUAUUAAAUCCUUAGAUAAGCAUAAAAGUAUUCUAAUUGGUUUGUUCUUGAAGAAGGAAUUGAAAGAUUGCUGGUCGCUUCAAAGGUUUUGAACAAUCAUGUACAGUCCAUCCCGUGAGAUUAACUAAUCCAUAUUUUUUCUAGUUGGGUCAGAUUAAUGAGGAGAAAUCACAUAUGUCGAACUCGAAAUGCAACAAAAUUCUUCAGAUCCACAAAACUGUUCUUAACUUCAUAUGUUGGCCGUCUUCUUGGGAGCAGACAUAUUAAUUUGUCAAACGGUGACUUUUAUUAUAGCCCUUGUUCUGUUGUUGAGUGGUGCUGCCCUAAACGAUAAAUGGGGGCAGGAAAGGGUGUACUUUGGCAAAUACUGCUACGUCAUCGAGUCUGGGGUAUUUACAGGAGGUGCAGUGUUAUCC
This is an RNA transcript of Musa acuminata AAA Group (dessert banana), 1620 nucleotides long. It is a transcript of the gene named protein VASCULATURE COMPLEXITY AND CONNECTIVITY-like, with no coding region annotated. The transcript has 5 exons. The record is from RefSeq and is a predicted model, not a curated record. Lineage: Eukaryota; Viridiplantae; Streptophyta; Magnoliopsida; Zingiberales; Musaceae.